RNAcentral lists this ribosomal RNA (495 nucleotides) under uncultured bacterium. RNAcentral's name for it is "partial 16S ribosomal RNA". It matches the Rfam family "Bacterial small subunit ribosomal RNA", at positions 28 to 507 of the family's 1533-position model. The record is from RNAcentral.
GACGAACGCUGGCGGCGUGCCUAAUACAUGCGAGUAGAACGCUGAAGGAGGAGCUUGCUUCUCUGGAUGAGUUGCGAACGGGUGAGUAACGCGUAGGUAACCUGCCUGGUAGCGGGGGAUAACUAUUGGAAACGAUAGCUAAUACCGCAUAAUAGCAGUUGUUGCAUGACAACUGUUUGAAAGGUGCAAUUGCACCACUACCAGAUGGACCUGCGUUGUAUUAGCUAGUUGGUGGGGUAACGGCUCACCAAGGCGACGAUACAUAGCCGACCUGAGAGGGGGAUCGGCCACACUGGGACUGAGACACGGCCCAGACUCCUACGGGAGGCAGCAGUAGGGAAUCUUCGGCAAUGGACGGAAGUCUGACCGAGCAACGCCGCGUGAGUGAAGAAGGUUUUCGGAUCGUAAAGCUCUGUUGUAAGAGAAGAACGAGUGUGAGAGUGGAAAGUUCACACUGUGACGGUAUCUUACCGGAAAGGGACGGCUAACUACGUG